CUCACCUGCGCAGAUUUAUCGAUCCCUCACCCCAAUCGCAGUAGCGAUCGCAGCAGAGAUGGCAGCUCUCGCAGCUACUUCCGCGGCUUCCAUCGCUCUCGCUAUCCCUCAGGCCUCGUCCGGGGCUUCCACUUCUAGGAGCGUCAACCUCCGCCUCUCUGGUAUCCAGGUAUGGGUCUGGCUGUGAGAUCAUCGGCUGCGAGGGUGUACUGCAGCUGGAUUCAUGUUUCAAGAGGGUUUAUAUGUUUUUAAGGUGUGUGUAUACUGGCUGUGUGGGAUCACGGGGAUUGUUGCUGCUGGAUUGUUUGUGAAUCUGGGUGGUGCAUUUCGAUGAUGGGAUUCAUGCUAUGGGUGGAACAGGGUCAGAAGCUCGCCGCUGUAUGCAAUGGCUCCCGCGUCGUGGCCAAGGCUGCAGGAGCUGCCCCCGACGCCACUGCUGAGGCGCCCAAGGGUUUCACCCCCCCGACCUUGAACGCUGAUACCCCUGCCCCCAUUUUUGGUGGUAGCACUGGGGGCCUUCUUCGCAAGGCUCAGGUCGAGGAGUUCUAUGUCAUCACCUGGGAAUCACCGAAGGAGCAGAUUUUCGAGAUGCCCACCGGUCAGUUAGCGCAUCCCUAUUAUUCUUGAGAGUCACAUAUUUUUCUAUGUAACACAUGCAGCCUUCAGUAGUUAAAUUACGGGAUAGGCCCUACAGGGAACAUUAUGUAAAUAUGGCAAGGUGUCGUAUGGGUGACGACUUAUUCAUUGGGCAGUUCAUUCAGAAUGAGGCAAUCGAUUCCUCUGGUGCAUUGAGGGAAUAGAGUAUUCGUUAAGAGCAGUGUCAUAGGGUAGUACAUUUGCGAGAACUGCAGUGAUGCUGGGAAAUGGACACUGUUGCACUCGUAGUUCCAGCUACUGACACUUACUCCGCGCAGGUGGGGCUGCCAUAAUGAGGUCCGGACCCAACCUGUUAAAACUGGCCAGGAAGGAGCAAUGCCUUGCGUUGGGCGCUAGGUUGAGGACCAAGUUCAAAAUCCAGUACCAGUUCUAUCGUGUCUUCCCCAAUGGCGAGGUGCAGUACCUCCACCCCAAGGACGGAGUCUACCCAGAGAAGGUGAACGCUGGAAGAACAGCUGUGGGAGUCAACAACAGGAGCAUUGGGCAGAACGCCAACCCCGCCGAGCUUAAGUUCGCCCACAAACAAGCCUAUGAUUUGUAGACAUUACAUCUAUUUGUAUAUCAUGAUGAAGUGUGUGUUGUAAGCCAAAAUUCCCUGCUUUUAUCUAAAAGCAUCGCAAUGCGUUGAUGAUAGAUGUUGUGUG
This 1301-nucleotide long non-coding RNA is filed under the name Physcomitrium patens. RNAcentral describes it as "long non-coding RNA (PPAT_LNC009894)". The record is from RNAcentral. Lineage: Eukaryota; Viridiplantae; Streptophyta; Bryopsida; Funariales; Funariaceae.